Megalobrama amblycephala (Wuchang bream) is the source of this 1397-nucleotide long non-coding RNA. RefSeq lists it as uncharacterized. Lineage: Eukaryota; Metazoa; Chordata; Actinopteri; Cypriniformes; Xenocyprididae. The record is from RefSeq and is a predicted model, not a curated record. The transcript is spliced from 5 exons.
ACAACAGCUUCACUGCUGAAGAAAACAAAACGAGAACAAGGGAAAGAACACAUUCAAAGGUGAGUGAAAGAUAUCUGACCAGAGAUUCGUAGCGAUGGUGAACAGUUGGAUAUUGACGUUGACCGUCCUCCUAAGCAUCUUUGGGCCAGGAUGUCACACAAAAGGAGAUCAAGAUAUUGUAUCACAUCAGAAUCAAGAUGCUGCGAUUGAAAAACAUACAGUUUUCAAAGAGCGGACCUUUGUGGCGGACAGCGAUGUCACUUUAUGGUGUGCCGAUAAUGGCACUGAUGUCAAAUUGAAUGAAUUAAUUUUUAUUGUGUGGAACAUCAGCAUGCAAGGCAAAAAAUGUUAUCUUGGUUUGUCACCCGACCUGGGCCUGAACGACACUUGUAAGGAUGGAAAGAAGCUGAACCACACUUCAGAUUUUCCUUAUUCAUUCCCAAGAUUUCAAAGGAAGACGAAGGAUUUUACUUAUGUGAUUUAUCAUAUAAAGGAGGAAGCAAAUCUGUAAAUAUCUCUGUAAGCGUUACCCGACUGGAAACUCACCUGGACAGCAAAAAUGGUCAGAGGAUUGCUGUCUGUAAGACCACAUAUGAAGAGACGGCACCCACUCUUAAUUGGGAACCUGCCUUGAACUUUUCUUUCACUAACACUUCUGUCACGAAGGUUGACACAUUUUUCAUUAUGGAGAAUCGCGUACUUCUGCUUGAAUAUGCGACCAUCAGUAACAUCACCUGCGUGGCCUCAUACCCCUCUGUGUCUGGCUCUGUGCAGCAGAAGAGCACACUUGAUCUUACAACACAAGGAAUAAGGUUUUGUCUCAGAAUGAAGGACGAAACACCCGAGAAGAGAUGAAGAAAUACAGAAGCAUAAACAGGAUGUGGGUGGCAAAAAUAGGCACGAUAAGAAAGUGAACCGGAGGGAGGUGUUUACCUGAGAACUGCUGACAUUACAUUUUAACAUAGAGCAUCUGAAGAAGUAGAGCAAAAGCACCAAAGAGGGCAUUAAAAAUGUCCAUAAUUAUCUUAGUUUUAUGUUCUUUUUUGUCUUGAAUGAAAAUGCAAUUACAUUUUUAUUUGGCCUUUGAGUCAACCGAAUUUAGUAAUAUAAUCCAACAUUUUGCUUGUGCUGUCUUUCUUUUAUAUAAAUGCCCCGUGAUUUGAUAUUGUUUUAUAUAAUGCCAAGACAUUUAAGUGUAAUUUAAGAGUCCAAAUGGUUUUGGGGCAAUUGUAAAGCUAGCAGUUAUUUGAAGAAGUCUCACAAAUGUCCACAAAUCCUUUUUUAAAAAAAGAAAUGAGAUGCAUAAAACACGUUGUUGCCAAACUUCUCUUUUCCCCUUUAUUUGUAGUGAAUUGAUUUCAUUGUUUACACUUACGCAAUAAAUUCCAAAGCUAUAA